AGAAAAUAGUGGAGGAUGUCCUUCCCCUACGCCCAUCCCCAAAUCCGAGUACUGGUGGUGAUACACCAUUUCUAUAUAGCCGUAUAGAAACUGUAUUUACAAAAUAGAAAUAAAAUUGUAAUGUUUGCCUUUCUGUUUUUCCUCGCUAAACUAGGAAACGGCUAGAUCGAUUCCGAUGGAAUUUUAAUUACGUGGUUACAGAGUAUUUUUCCUUAGGUAUAUG
Molecule: non-coding RNA, 223 nt
Organism: Cinara cedri
Lineage: Eukaryota; Metazoa; Arthropoda; Insecta; Hemiptera; Aphididae
Source: the annotation of a GenBank genome assembly